UCCUCAGGUCUCUAGCAAAUUCUUUAGAUGAUGAUUUUCAUCUGGAGACCUGACCUGCAGAAGUGAUUAGUUCGAUUUCUUCACCACCCACAUCUGAAGGGGUGGCAAAGCAUUCAUGAUCCUGCGAGCACCAUAUGAGAAAGGUGGCACUGAAGCUAAUGCACUUCUCUUAACAGUAGGGGGGUUAAAGUACUCAUAUGAAUAUGCACAGAACUGGUUUGAGGAUUUAUGAACAUAAUGAUUUGAAGAGUAACGCUCAUAUUCAUAUUCCUUGUAGUUUCUCUGCAUGUUAGACGCAUUAGCAUGGGUACGAGCAUAGUUUUGACCAGUUGAGGAUUUUGAUCCUCUUGAAUACUUUGGUCCUCCUGAGGAUUUUGAUCUGGGGUUUAGAUUCUUCAUUGGUGGUGUCAUGAGGACAUUCACCUGAAGAUUUUCAAGACAACUUUUGGGAACCUAGAUUUUCCUCAAGGGAGGGCCAUUCGUGCAGUUAGUUCCAACAUAUCGAGCAAAUACUUCACCAGAUUGAAUUUUGAACAGUUUGUAGUUGGAGUCAAAUGACUCAUCUGAGGAAUAGGAUAAUUCACAUGAAAAACCAGUUAGAUUAGAUGGAUCAAAAGGAGGCCCAGUAGCAACAACCCAUGAGGUUUUGGGAUACUGCUCAGGUUUCCAGUAAGAUCCAUCAGCAUUUAAUUUCCUGUCAAAGGCAAUUCCUUCUUUCCUCGGGUUCCUGUUCAACAUCUGCUUUUUGAGCACAUCACAAAGGGUUUGAUGUCCUUUGAGGCUUUUGUAUAUGCCCGUCACAUACAAUUCCUUCGACUGCGUUACCCGUGAUUGAAACACAAGCUGGAGACGUAUCGGCCUAUAUCCCCACCAAUGUGAUCUCCAUUACAGAUGGACAAAUCUGUUUGGAAACAGAGCUCUUUUAUCACGGAAUUAGACCAGCUAUUAACGUUGGCUUAUCCGUCAGUCGUGUCGGGUCUGCCGCUCAGUUGAAAGCUAUGAAACAAGUCUGCGGUAGUUCAAAACUGGAAUUGGCACAAUAUCGCGAAGUGGCCGCCUUCGCUCAAUUUGGGUCAGACCUUGAUGCUGCGACUCAGGCAUUACUCAAUAGAGGUGCAAGGCUUACAGAAGUGCCCAAACAACCACAAUAUGAACCACUUCCAAUUGAAAAACAAAUUGUUGUGAUUUAUGCUGCUGUCAACGGCUUCUGUGAUCGAAUGCCACUAGACAGAAUUUCUCAAUAUGAAAAAGCCAUUCUAAGUACUAUUAAUCCAGAAUUACAAAAAUCCUUCUUAGAAAAAGGUGGCUUAACUAACGAAAGAAAGAUGGAACCAGAUGCUUCUUUAAAAGAAAGCACUUUGCCUUACCUGUGAAUUAAUCAAAAAGGUUGCCCCUUACUCGCAGAUGUAGGAAGAAGGCUUUUCUCGCCAACUGAACCCCAAUAGGCUAUUUUUGACUUUUUUCAAAUAAUUAUUACAGAUAGAUUUUUGUGCCAUGCGUAAACCAAGCUGCUGAGAGUCUACCCCAGCCACAAGGGGGAGCUGCUCCAGUAGUUCAGGAUACCCCACCCAGCCCCACAAGGGUUGACGGACCCCCUACCUAUACCUAUACCUGAUGAUUUUCAAUCCACAGCUCAUUUUCUUGAAUAUGUGACAAGCCUUGCAAAUUGUGAUAAUAUGUAUAAAAUUAGUGGUCCACAUAACCCAAUAUUAGAAAAUUAUGGAGGUGCAGGCCCAAGUACUUCGAAUCAUCAACAAGAAAUCCAAGAAAGAACAGCGAAGGAAAAACGUGACAAGAAAAGUGUUUUCUCGACUCGAGAUGUUAGAAGGUGCUAAAUCAAUAGGUGCCGGAGCUGCUACAAUUGCUUUAGCCGGAGCUGCUGUCGGUAUUGGAAACGUCCUCAGUUCUUUGAUUCAUUCCGUGGCGCGAAAUACAUCAUUGGCUAAACAAUCAUUUGGUUCUGCCAUUUUGGGCUUUGCUCUCACCGAAGCUAUUGCAUUGUUUGCCCCAAUGAUGGCCUUUCUGAUCUCAUUCGUUUUCCGAUCGCAUAAAAAGUCAUGAGAUCAAAAAAGGAAUGUGAGAAUGUAGUUACAGAUGUCAAAAAAGUCAAUAUCUCGUUCUCUUGUUCCAUAGAUGGGGCGUCCUAUCCGAUGGAUGAAUGAGGAGCCUCUGUCGAGUAGUGAAAUGAUAGGAUUUUGCUUUUCGGUUAAACCGAAACACAAGUCGGUGAUUCAAGCCAAGAGUGCGGGCACCUUAAGAGCGGUCAAAGCUAGAAGCUAUAUCAUGACUGCUGGAACGAAAGACCCGAUGAGUAUUUUCGUACCACCUUCCAAUCUUCUUAGUCAAUUGUGUACUUUUCCACUAGGCGAAACAUAAGUUAUCGGAAUCCGGGGCCUGUUUUUCCCUAUUUCCCAAGGGGAAUGUCAAAUUGUGUGGUUUCAAAGUCUUAUGAGACAGAAAGUUUUGGAAAAUGGAGCUGCCGUUUUCACUACUUUGGUCCCUAGCGAUAUUGUUGCUUAAACUAACAUGGAAAGUGGGUUCAAUCACUUUAAAGUGCCCUCUCAAGUGUCAUCUCAUAAUGGUAAUCUCCUUAUGGUAUAGUAAUUUGGCUUAGAAUAAGAAACCUAUCUCUUCCCCCUAAUGUCUUUUGAACGGAUUCCUCAAGAGGAAGGUAGGGCCAUAUCUAUCCAAGAAGAAAGACCAGGUAAACAAUUAUGCUACUUGACCAAUGGAUAAAGUAUAGAUCUCAUGGCUGGCUACUAUUCAACCCUGGCAUUGGGGAUCAGGAACGGGGUAAAGUACGGACUUUGGCUAAGGAUGGGGAUCCGGUUGUGCCGUGCCGGCCCCGGGAAUCGGCGAACUACGCUACACAGUCAGAUACCUAAGCGAACGGAUAAGGGAAAGCCCGCUAUAUUAUAUAUAGUAAUCACCUGCCAAAAGGAAAGCCUGACCGAUAAUAAUAAUAGGUCUAUGUGCCGAACAAGCAACGGUAUAUUAGAGAUAGUAAGGAGUUGUAUACACGGGGGUAUGCAUUCAUGUCACGCUUUCUGUGUGAUAAGAGGUUGCUAGCUAGCAAGUAUAGAAACAUGAGAUAUGCGUAGUUAACAGAAGCAAGGGAAUAUGCGUGAGUUGAUUUGAGAGUUUUUUUUUUUGAGUUGCCACCGAAAAAGAAAUUUCAUCUCAAGGGAAAAUGCAUUGCAUUUUCAAGGGAUUGCCAAGCUAGGCUAGGGAUCGUCCGCGGGUAUCAGGAAUAUCGUAUUUAUCUCUUCUAAUCUAGAUCCCACUUCCCUCCACUUCUUGCCUCACGCCCGUCCUGACUCCACAUUAACGACUGUCCUUCCACCCAAUUCCCCGCACCCUUGCAUCACAUCUCCAACCCCUGCCUCCAUGCAAUCUUCCACAAUCGUACCCCCCACCUCUGAAGCUUGCCCCCGACGAACCUGUCUGCACCUGCGGGCCCGCGCUUACAUCAUUGGCAUCGCAUGAUUAAACAUCAGCACGCGCACUUCCCUCCGUUUUCGAUGCCGACAGGGGGCUGCUAGGGGGUGUAAAGUUUCGUUUCGGUCAUGUCAGACGACAUGCAGGGGGGCAAUGGCUGCCAACGGAAUCUAUAAUAAUUCGAUACUAGGUCAACUGUACCAUCGGACUUGUAAGAACAUGUAAAAUGUACCACACGAGGUUGUACCAGCUGUGUGCAGUCCUCCGGCACGGGUUAAGUGUCCUGCAUAGAUCUUCCCCUCUCUCCCAAAGAAGAGAUGUUCGCUUCAUAGCCUUCUCUUCCGAGAUAAACCCUACAAAGGAUCCUAAUCGUGCUAGCCUUUCAUGGACUCUUCUUCGAUUUCCUUUCAGCUGCGCCCAACACCUCUCUAGUUUCUCUACGAGAUGGAGAUGGCUCAUUCUCUAGUUUUCCUACGAGAUAUAAGUAAGUUUCUAUCGUACUUUGAAGUUCAGGAAGGAGUUAUUAAUUAAGACGAAGAAUAGAAAGAAUCCAAGCCAAUAUACACUACACUAUCACUAUAGAGUUUUCGCCUACCUAUGAAAAGUGAGAUGAGAGCUUUGUGCUAAUAAUUUAUUAUAAAGGUGUACCUAUCGACCCCAGGUAAUUAAUGCCCUAUCCUUCUCCUUAAAAAACGUUACGUUAGACUUGACCAACUGUUAAUACCAAUCCGGCAGCAAUAACUACUACUAAUGCAUAUUCAUAUCCCACUAGUAGACUUAGCAGACUGUGACCUAGCCAGUCUAUUUGUUGACAACAGACCAGUACUAUCCAUCAAUGCCACAAAGACCAUAGACGACCUCUAUUUCAUGGAAGAACUCCUUCUCAUAUGAUGCAAGGCAAUAAGACCAACUGCCCGCCCUACCUAGUGAGAAGAAAGCUUAUAAAUAUAAGCAUAAACGAAUACCUAGCCGAGCCCUAUACUUACCUGCUUGUACGGUCAAUGCCCUAGUAGACAUCAACUUGUUCAUAAAGUCCAGCCUUAUCUACGCUGCUUUACCCGACCCAGGUGACCUACUUUCUCAGAUGAGAGAUUCGGCGGAGUAGUAGGAAGUCCCUGUGGAGAACUAGAAGACAAAACGAAUAUAGCGGACCAAGCAAUGAAUGACCUAGCCUAGGUAGUCCUAUUGAGUUCCUACCUUGUCGAAAUCAUUCAAUCAUAGUGGUUUGUGUUGCAAAAAGCUAUCUUUGUUAUCAAGAAACAAAGCUGUCUCUAGUGAUUGAUCCGUUUGCUCUCGCCCUUCGGCUUUGUGGUCACUCAAGGUCCUUGGAUUUCGUGCUCAAUCUAGUUGGAGCUGUGGAUAGAAGUUUUGAAAAACCGUUCUUAUCUGGGAAGAGAGCCUUUGGAAACCCACUGCUGAAGCCGAAUAGGCAGUGAAAGCUGGAAUGAUGGGUGGCAAUCCUGCAGUAUGGCUUUAGUGCGUAGAUUCUCAGGCAGGCUAGGCUAUUUGGUGCGCUCUUCCUUUUUUUGGAUAGAAAGAAGGGUUCAGUGGGAGGGCAAGGGGUAGUUAAGUUUUAGGUUGGCUCUUGUUUUUUACAGACUUUCUUUUCGGUGUAAUUUAAUAAAGAAGUAGCAAUUGUUCAUUUCAUUUCAUUUUUUUGCAUUGGUAGUUCUUUUUCAUUUGAAAGGGCAAAGGGGGGAAGGGAAAGGAUUGACCCUCAGGGAUCAUAUUACUCAAGAAGACUGGGGGAAAAUAGCAGGAUUGGAAAAGCUCGAAGAGACUGAGGAAGACAAAUCCAUUGUCGAAUCCUGCAGAGUGAUAACAUCGAGUAGUGGGGGCUGGCUUCCACCCCUGAGAGAGCUUGAUUUACCAGAAAUCCCGCCGAGUCCUAGUGGGCCUAGAUUCCGCGAUAAGUUCCGAGAAAUGGAGGAAAUGAUGCAUUCAAAGUUCGCAGAAUUGCAAGAAAGACAAAAUCCUUGAAAGAAAAACCAAACAAGACCAGAUGUUCCCUAUUGUUAUUGGGAACGAGACUAAAUGUUCGGCCUUAAUGAGAUGGACCUUGAUUCCUCUCCGGCCAGGAAAAGAUGCGGCUCCUCUUUGUUCUACUACCUUCAUCCUCGGGUGAAGCCGGUUGGCUCACCAAACAAGAUAUAUACUGUGAAAUCAUUGGUAACCAUGCCUAACGGUCGGUCAUCUAAGCUAUCGGCCAAGGCAAGUGAGAGCUGUUCAAGAGUUGGGGGCAUAUCUUUAGCUCGAGCAGCAUCCGCUCCCGAAAUGUGAGUUAAGCUUUAAAAAAAGAAGAAGAGCUACGAGUGGAACAACUUCUUCUAUUCCUUGUUGGCCUCCAGCUCCUUCUGUCCCUCAAUCCUCUUCUCUGCCCUUUUUUUACUAUUAUGCGUGGCAUGCCCCCUGUUCGUAUCUUAACAGGGCAACCUUCUCUUGCAAACAAUCCCUUCGUCGCUAACACCGGUAAUGCCCCAUCCCUUUAAUACUACCUUCGAGGAAUUUCUCUCGCGUCCCUGUAGUGAUAAGAGCGCAUUCUCUAACAGCUUUGAAGCCGAGGCAGCCAUCCUCUUGCCAAUCCUAAACAAAAGAAAGAAAAGCCCUACCCGCCUUCAUUGGUUGAGUAAGGGGCAUUUACCUAUCAGUCCUAGUCCUAAGGCGCAAUCGGAGCACUAAGCCCAAUUACAGCUUGACUCCGUAAAUUAGACCUCAUUCUCCUAGUCCUAUUCCUGAUUGUUAUUUCGGAUUCUGUGCCUGGGUGGUAUCUUCUUACUAUUGAUUCAACCUCUUCGGGCAAACGUUGUCACUUCCUUUAUUUGAAAAAAGGGGUCUAGAACUACAGUGAUCUGAUACCUUCUUCCCUUGGUCUGGGUAGGUAGGUUAUGUAGGCUACAACUGUUCAUAGGUUGUUCGAUCGCAAAAGGCCAAAUAAUCGAUUACUAGUAUGCCGGAUAUUGCCAGGAGGCCCUUCCCCCUAUGUUUGACUCAUCCUAGAUGGGUUCACACCUGUUGAUUCCGGUCAAAGAAAAAAGCUUUUUCACGGCAUCCGUCCCAUCACACCAAUCUACGCCAAGAUAAAGAAUGCUGGGUUGCCAGGAACAAACCCUGUGAUUCAAGGUCUUGCCUAGAAUUGCCCUAAGAAAAAUGCACCCCAUUAAUUGAUCCCUCUUUAGGGUAGUAUAAGUACAUCCUCGACUAUAGCACGAGUAGAGUCGAGUUCUCGUACUAACCUAAGAGCAGAUAUGCCGAAAUAUUUCCACGUUCAAGAAGCUAAUCAGUAAACGACUUCUCCGUAACAGUUUGAAGAUUGGCUUGCAACGCAAGUAGCGGCAAGAAAGGAGAGCAAGACUUCCUUUUCUAAAAGAAGAAAGAACUAGACUUCUAUAAGAAGAUUUUUAUAAUCGUAGAUCGUGGAAUAUUCAUCUAUCUUAUUAGGUAACUACUUUAGCUGCUCUCGAAACUGAACCAUCGUGAAUAGAACUAGCGCUUAAGGAAGAGUAGGAUCUGUUAGCAAGUCAUAUUCAAUCACCUGGUCUUCUCCUUCCUAGCUUUUAGAUUUUAUGAUUCUCUCUUGGAUUUUCAUACACUUAGCCGUGUACGUAUCUUGGCUAAACUCGAACCUAUAGUUGAUCCAUCCAUACUCGGUAAAGAAUCAAAAAGGUACUUGAAGACGACUUUGAAUGGGAGGAGGUUUUCUUUUUAUCCCCCCUAACCUUAUUUUUAUGUCUUCUUCGUUCUCAGUCCCUACGGUCCAUUGUAGGAUGAUUUUCCUAAGGCCUUGAAUUCGUUGGCAAGGUGAUCAGGGUCCUCUCCCUGGUCCUAUCGAACCAGUAACUUCUCUCCUGGGAUUGAAUAUGUUUUGCCUUUCCCCGAUGGUUCCGCAUUCCUAUGUGGGUAGGAUUCGCCAGGGAUGAGCGGCUUAUUUAGCCUAUGCGAAGCGCGAAACAUAAGAGAAGAGUGUAGCGAAGCGAGUGUAAUACUUGUAGUGAAUAUAAGUAGUGUCAAAGCCUACACUGGCUUAGCUUUGCAGAUGUUUUCAGGACGAAGACGGUGAUACGAUACCACUCGCCAGUGAUGAUAAGAUUCACUCAUAGCAUAGGUGGAAGAUCCAUCCAAUUUUAUUUAUAGAUUUAUUUGUUCAAAGAAAAGACGCCUAAAAAUCAUUCAGGGAACCUACUCUUGGUAUCCUUUACCACAUUCACUUUCCAUAUUCCCUUUCUUUAGUUCAGACGCUAUCGUACCUCAGGGAAAAUCCAAAUUUCUAUCAACGAUUCCCACCCAACUCUGGAAUGACUCUCCCCUCUCUCCCUUAACAUAUCGAAGGCCUCUUAUCCGUCAACCGCACCUUAAUAGCUCAGACUUCCGAGCCUUGCUGGAUGAUGCAGAAGGGCCAACAUCAGAGGAUCAAUUGAAUAACCAACUCUCCCGCCCCGCUGCCGCUACUGCUCGAAAGCCUUUGGAUCCCCUACAGGAGUGUCAUGAGCCCCUACAAGGAGUCAAAAUAAAGCCGAAACCAGAUACAGGAAGUGUUGACCCGGAUCAAUGGAGUGCGAGCCCUUUUAUCUUGAGCUGAUUCUCCUUAUUUUAGAGUUGUGGCGAAGGUAAAUUGAGCUCUGGCCUGUGGGGAAGGAAAAGGCUCUGACGAAGCUCCAGGGAUUACAGGAAGGUUUAGGCCUUGUGAGCAGCUCCAAACGGUCAGACGAUUGACGUAGCAAGUUCAUUAACCUUCAGACGAUUGAGUUCCUACCUUGGGCUCUUCCCGCGCCCUUUCAGGGUUCUUGGUUAUCACUUGGCUAUUCGCUCCAUUCCUCUUCAAUCCAUCAGGAUUUGAGUGGCAGAAAAUAGUAGAUGACUCGGAUGACUUCUUUUCUUUCUUCUGAAGUGAGUGUGCUUCUUUACUAGGCAUAACAUGAUAAUUCCUCUAUGGCGUGUGCUCCUUUCCUAUGUAAUGACUUUCCUCCUUUUUCAUGCCUCGUGCGCGUGCAUAAGCUACGAGUUCCCUGGCCCACCCUAGUUCAUCGAAUAGUGAGACUGUUCAUUUCUUUUUUUUAAUGAGUUUACCGAAUUGACAACUCUUCUUUUUUUUACUUUAUAGAGAGAUAAUUUUUCAGCAUUUACAAUUCAUAUUACGCAAUAAAAUAAGAAGAGACAGCUACAUGAGUAGGCGAGCAUUCAUUUGAGCUGCCUUAGUUCUUCACAAGAAGCAAGCCCCUAAGAUAAUAAGUUGUAGUGGGUGUCCUCUUUCCAGAUGCGAAAGGCUUCUUUCUCUCUACUCUUUAUAGUGGAGAUGCUAAAAACAAAUGAUUGAAACCUGCUUGCCCUUCUGAUUUAUUCCUUGCUGGCACUACGCUGACCGAGGGAGGGUUCUGAUGAAUAUUGGUCAUCACGCGUGGACUUCUCUUCAGGCCUCGUUUUCCGCGACUUCCUUAGCCUGACCAGAAACGCAAGACCUGUGAUACGAAAGACACGCCAUUCUCCAGACUAGAGAUCCGAGUUUCGAUACCGAGUAGAAAGACUGCAAAGAAAGAGUUAUCACUUCCCGCUACCAAUCUUAUUCCCACUUCUGCUUAUUGCUUAUUGUCGAGUAAACACUUCUGUUUACCAAAUCUAACUUUCCGAUGGCAACUACUUGCUUCCAACAAUACCCGAGCUUCCUUCUCCUAACCCGGAUUCCGAUACCAAUCGUAUCAAUCUGGAAAUCAGUAUUCUAUCUUUCGGGCAGGCGCGGAGUUCAUCCCACUAUACUAGGUUCGCGAGCCCUGUCCGAUUGGACGAGAAAUCUUCUUUUUUCAUAGUUUCUUUCGAAACAGCCCGUUUUUCACCAUUCUUCCGGACUCUACAAAAUACAGAAUGGCACCUGAAGAAAGCCCGCGUUCCCACUCUUCCUUCCCCCUACCUACCCAUAAGGUAGGUAGGGGCCUUGGUUUCCUAUGAGAAACCUACACCAGUGAAUUUAUUUUUCGUAGGUGAUCCCGCUCCCAAUCGCAGAUUUGAAUAAUCAAGUCGGUAUGGGGCUGCUCCCUUUUGUUACUCCGAAAAUAUUGGCUUCGCCUGGACAUAUCUUCGAGGACCUGGGCGAUUUUGACCCGUUUCUCGGCGCUCGCCGUUUCAAGGUGAAGAUCCUCGUAAGUCGAGCGUAAUGUGCUCUCCUUAGGAACCCUAUUUCGACAGGACCUUAGAACUGUUUUAAUUCUGUUCCUUAAGAAAGAAAUGGAUGGUACUUCAGGUUGCGCCCCAUUUUUGGGCGGCUCUGACCGAAACCCAUCUUUGCCAUUGGCGUCUUGACGUCCCACUUUUUUUUCGUGGAUCAUCAUCUCCUUUGUUUGGCGGAGCGGAAGCACUCGACGAGGCCUCUACGACAGCAUGGGCUCUUCCCCGUUUCUGGCCGGAUGAUUCCAUAAAGAAAAUACUACAAAAAGUCAAGCAUAACAAGAAGCAAAAGAUAUCGUGGUGUAAGUCAAUGAUUCCAUUCAUUUUCAUAAUAUUAUGCUUCCUUCCCCGUGUGGAACAUGUGUGAGCAUUAUGUUUUUCCAACAAGUGAUCCGACUGGAAGAAGUGUUAUAUGAGGACUUCGAGAUCAAAUAGAGAAUCUGUCUCUCCAUUUCUCGUGAGCCACUUAUUUCAGAAAAAUCAGAGAUCAGAGUGAUUUUCCUCCUUUUUCCCAAAUAGUCGACGGUCUUACACCAUUGGGAUACUUCGGAUAAACUGGAGUACAUAUAUGAGAGACCGGUGCUUAAACGUUUUCUCGAGAUAUCUUCCAGAUUCUUAGGGUCCUUGCUCCGGAUCUCGCCCCNNNNNNNNNNNNNNNNNNNNNNNNNNNNNNNNNNNNNNNNNNNNNNNNNNNNNNNNNNNNNNNNNNNNNNNNNNNNNNNNNNNNNNNNNNNNNNNNNNNNNNNNNNNNNNNNNNNNNNNNNNNNNNNNNNNNNNNNNNNNNNNNNNNUCCCCCCCCCGGCGCGAAAGCAGUUGGUUCCGUAGUUUGAGAAUUCUACUAAUUCCAAGUAUUCCAUUAUUAUUAUUAAAUAAGAGAAUAUAAAAAGUAAAGAGGAGAAGACAUAACCAAAAGAAUUGUGAGAAAUAAGUCAAUUUAUCAAGUUGAGGCAUUUUGAUUUGGAUUUCAAAUAAUCAAGAAAAAAAAGACUCCGAACCGUACUUUUGCUAUUUUACGUCCCUCUAUACAAAAAGAGAUUUACUUUCCAAAAUGGAAUCUUUGCCAUUUCUGAUGUGAAUGAGGGAGGUUGUCUGCCCGGGUAGGGGUGACCGGGCCCUCCCAAGUCAUCGCUCAAGAAAGCACCACAGUCACACGAGAAAGAGUUUGGACUAUGACGAAGACGAGCAAGCCUUUGUCGGGGAGUGAUCGGGGAAGAGUCGAGUACAAGAGGAAGGUGGAAGGAAGAAAGCGCCAGAAGCGCCAGGUGCGAAGAUAGACCAUCAAAGAACUCCACAGCAGAGCAAAAAAGAGAAAGGCAAGGCUCGCAAAGAACAAAGGCUCAACCAUCAGAUCCAACACAAAGCCCUCAAGAUAUUUAGAGGCUUGGACUACUCUCUCUAGUAAAAGAAAGGAAGCACAAUGGGUAUUGCUCUAUUUCUUACUAGUGAGGUAUUCUUCUUCAUUUCAGUAUUAUGGGCAUUCUUCCAUUCUAGUCUGGCACCAACAGUCAAACUAGGAGCUCAACGGCCACCUGUUACUACGAACUUGUUUUCAUCUGGCAGAUAAGCUUUUGAGAAGAGACCACUUUGAUAACGAGCUUUCGGGUUGCCGUAUUGAUACCGCCCUUCGGGGGAACAGGAGAAUAGCAUGCACGGGAGAAGGAUUUAGGGAAAGGUACCCACCUUUUAACGGGAGAAAGGCAGCUUAUGUGAAAACUUCCCUUGUGGUUUACAGUUCAAAUAGAUCAGGUGCCUAUGUUGUUGAUACACCGAAAGAUACUAACGCUAUGCUCCAAUGCGGGAUGAGGGCCAACGGUUGUGAUGAGUGGGGACCUUAGAGCUUAAAACCUACAUACAGUGACCCUUAUGGGCAGCGCCCUGGGCUGGCUAUGUACGAGACAUCAAACCGUCUCCCGGGUCCAAAGUUUCCAUUUCCAGGCCUGAUAGUCUUCAACUGAAAAAAGUACCGCGGAGAACUAGUAAGAAUUGUGCCUGCCAUUCAAUUCGUGACGUGGAUGAUCCGCCGACGGAAUCGAUUAGGUGAAACGGCUCUGCAAAGUUUGUUUGUUCAUAAAGGCUGCAUGCAGCCAUGCAAUUCGUACUGCAUGGCGAUAUUACUCUACCACUCUAUAAAUGGUAUAUAGAUAUCUUCACUUCAUCACAAAGAAAUUGAGUACUAGCACGCAUUGCUAUGGAUGCUGCAACCGCAAACAGGCUUUCUGCAAUUGCUACCAAAACGGAGCAACUGAAAAAUGAGAUUGAAGGGCACCGUAGAGUGCUAAACAACCAGUUGAGAAGUGUUAGAACAAUGGAUCCUGCAAAGAAAGAAGCGCGCAUUCGCGCUACCAGAGAGCGCAUAGAGGGUUUGGAGGAGAGGCAGGAAGCGCUGCGGGUGGAGCAGCAAGUGCUCUUUAUUCGUCUAGCAUCUCGCUAGAAUAGAAGAGUCCGUAGACUCUUUUUAGUUUUCUAAGGUUGGUUUAAAUUCAAUAAGUG
RNAcentral lists this long non-coding RNA (12081 nucleotides) under Hordeum vulgare. Its description in RNAcentral is "long non-coding RNA (HVUL_LNC019911)". Lineage: Eukaryota; Viridiplantae; Streptophyta; Magnoliopsida; Poales; Poaceae. The record is from RNAcentral.